RNAcentral lists this ribosomal RNA (1407 nucleotides) under uncultured bacterium. Its description in RNAcentral is "bacterial SSU rRNA". It matches the Rfam family "Bacterial small subunit ribosomal RNA". The record is from RNAcentral.
AGAGUUUGAUCCUGGCUCAGGAUGAACGCUAGCGACAGGCUUAACACAUGCAAGUCGAGGGGCAGCGGUGGUGAAGGCUUGCCUUUACCAGCCGGCGACCGGCGCACGGGUGAGUAACACGUAUGCAACCUGCCUGCCACAGCCGGAUAAUCGGGAGAAAUUCCGUCUAAUACGGCAUAAUGCACCUAUGGGACAUCCUGUUGGUGCCAAAGGUUGAUUCCGGUGGCGGAUGGGCAUGCGUCGCAUUAGUUAGUUGGCGGUGUAACGGACCACCAAGACGACGAUGCGUAGGGGUUCUGAGAGGAAGGUCCCCCACACUGGUACUGAGACACGGACCAGACUCCUACGGGAGGCAGCAGUGAGGAAUAUUGGUCAAUGGGCGGGAGCCUGAACCAGCCAAGUCGCGUGAGGGAUGACGGCCCUAUGGGUUGUAAACCUCUUUUGCCGGGGAGCAAAGUGCCGCACGUGUGCGGUUUGGAGAGUACCCGGAGAAAAAGCAUCGGCUAACUCCGUGCCAGCAGCCGCGGUAAUACGGAGGAUGCGAGCGUUAUCCGGAUUUAUUGGGUUUAAAGGGUGCGUAGGCGGACGCUUAAGUCAGCGGUAAAAUUGCGGGGCUCAACCUCGUCGAGCCGUUGAAACUGGGUGCCUUGAGUGGGCGAGAAGUACGCGGAAUGCGUGGUGUAGCGGUGAAAUGCAUAGAUAUCACGCAGAACUCCGAUUGCGAAGGCAGCGUACCGGCGCCCAACUGACGCUGAAGCACGAAGGCGUGGGUAUCGAACAGGAUUAGAUACCCUGGUAGUCCACGCAGUAAACGAUGAAUGCUAGUUGUCCGGGGCGAUUGAGUUCUGGGUGACACAGCGAAAGCGUUAAGCAUUCCACCUGGGGAGUACGCCGGCAACGGUGAAACUCAAAGGAAUUGACGGGGGCCCGCACAAGCGGAGGAACAUGUGGUUUAAUUCGAUGAUACGCGAGGAACCUUACCCGGGCUCAAACGCAGGAGGGAUGUUUUUGAAAGGAGGCAGCCAGCAAUGGUCUCCUGCGAGGUGCUGCAUGGUUGUCGUCAGCUCGUGCCGUGAGGUGUCGGCUUAAGUGCCAUAACGAGCGCAACCCCUACCUACAGUUGCCAUCGCGUGAUGGCGGGCACUCUGUGGGGACUGCCUGCGCAAGCAGUGAGGAAGGCGGGGAUGACGUCAAAUCAGCACGGUCCUUACGUCCGGGGCGACACACGUGUUACAAUGGCAGGUACAGCGGGAAGCCACCCGGCGACGGGGCGCGGAACCCGAAAACCUGUCUCAGUUCGGAUUGGAGUCUGCAACCCGACUCCAUGAAGCUGGAUUCGCUAGUAAUCGCGCAUCAGCCACGGCGCGGUGAAUACGUUCCCGGGCCUUGCACUCACCGCCCGUCAAG